Molecule: long non-coding RNA, 1217 nt
Filed under: Ursus maritimus (polar bear)
Lineage: Eukaryota; Metazoa; Chordata; Mammalia; Carnivora; Ursidae
Description: lncRNA (ENSUMAG00000002732.1)
Source: RNAcentral
AAUGUUCAGAAAGAAACCUUCCCUAUCACACAAGACUUUCGGCAGAAUAAUUUACAGCAUACCAGUGGUUCUCAAGUUUCUGUGUCUUACAGGAUGUGAGUGAUGCCAGCCACGGGCACAAGCCUCUCCCAGGGCUAUCACCAGAUUGUGGCAUGCUCUGGGCAGGAUCGGCAAAGCUGUGGUGAGUUUCUCUGCAGUUUUCUCCUGGAACAUCUGCAGUUCAUCCUCUCCCACCACCAACUUCCAGACUUGGGAAUAAUUGGGAGGCCAGUCAUUAAGUGGAACACAAAAAUUAAACCUGGGCCAGAUACUGGUUUAAGCAUUUUGAAAACUUUAACUCAUUAAUUCCUCAUGAAGUGGGCACUAUUAUUAUCCCUGUUUUACAGGAGAUGAAACAGAAACAGAGAGGCUAGGAAACUUCCCCGGGGUCACAGAGCCAGACUACCUGCUUGCCCUGAAAUCUUUUUAGUUUGUGUCAUGGUAUUACCUACUGACUUGUUUGGGUUUCUGUACCCAGACAUGAAUGGGAGCCUACUUAGGGCCAAGCACUGUGCCUUGGAGACUGUGAGCCCUUGAAAGGCGGGUAGGUGUCAGGUCCUGCUGUCCGUACGUCUGCUGUAGCACUUGGCACAUCGUACAUCCGAAGACGUGUUUGUCAGACUCACAGUUGUGACUCCUUACUAUUGGCUUUGGAGGAAUUCUCACUGGUCAGAUUGCCUGGUCCCCCUACUUCUGUAUGACGUUUGAAGUAAAACCUUUCUAGAAACGGGCCUGCCAUCAAAAGCCCCUGGCAUCAGUACCCCCGUCCUCCACGUGUUUCCCAUUAUUCUGGUGAGUCUAACCAGGAAGCUAUUUUAUUUUUUCUUUUUCUGGAACACAUCAAGCUCUUGUGAUUAGGAGACACAACUGGAACUCUGCAGAGAGGGACAUUGUGAAGCUGCAUCCCAAGGGAGUAAUCCAGCAUGAGUAAGAGAAAGUCUCCAAAGUGCUGAGCAGGUACACAUGCCCCAAACAACACGUCCUCUGACCCAUGGAAUGUCCGGGGCUUGAAAAACAAAUCGCUGUCCUUUCAAAAGCUUAAAUGCUCAGUCCACUCUAUACAAUGCAACGAAAUUACCUCAAGGCUAUAGAUUGUUGAAAUUAGCUGAUUAAAGUAAUCCACAUAACAAUUUAUGAACCACAUUCUCAUUGAGGAAAUAAAAGGAACAUUGGCUGCA